Molecule: ribosomal RNA, 430 nt
Filed under: Rhizobium sp. EC201-1
Lineage: Bacteria; Pseudomonadati; Pseudomonadota; Alphaproteobacteria; Hyphomicrobiales; Rhizobiaceae
Description: bacterial SSU rRNA
Rfam family: Bacterial small subunit ribosomal RNA
Source: RNAcentral
AGAACGAACGCUGGCGGCAGGCUUAACACAUGCAAGUCGAGCGCCCCGCAAGGGGAGCGGCAGACGGGUGAGUAACGCGUGGGAAUCUACCCUUGACUACGGAAUAACGCAGGGAAACUUGUGCUAAUACCGUAUGUGUCCUUCGGGAGAAAGAUUUAUCGGUCAAGGAUGAGCCCGCGUUGGAUUAGCUAGUUGGUGGGGUAAAGGCCUACCAAGGCGACGAUCCAUAGCUGGUCUGAGAGGAUGAUCAGCCACAUUGGGACUGAAACACGGCCCAAACUCCUACGGGAGGCAGCAGUGGGGAAUAUUGGACAAUGGGCCCCAAGCCUGAUCCAACCAUGCCGCGUGAGUGAUGAAGGCCCUAGGGUUGUAAAGCUCUUUCACCGGAGAAGAUAAUGACGGUAUCCGGAGAAGAAGCCCCGGCUAACUU